Molecule: long non-coding RNA, 2150 nt
Filed under: Bos grunniens (domestic yak)
Lineage: Eukaryota; Metazoa; Chordata; Mammalia; Artiodactyla; Bovidae
Description: lncRNA (ENSBGRG00000021143.1)
Source: RNAcentral
GUGUACCAGAGGCGGGCCCCCAGCCUCAUCACCAAUCAAGUGGCCCGCCGGGGACGCGAGGGCGGGCUAACGUGGGGCGCCAAGGCUUAAACGUGACGGGCGGGCGGGCGUAGGGAGGAGUCCUGGGCAGGGAGCGGUGAGUGACGGAGGAUGCUGUCCAAUAGCAGGAGGGGUUGGGCUGCCUGAGCCAAUAGGAAGUCCGUAAGGCGGGACUGGGCCUGCAGCAAGUUCGGUUGCGCGGAGACCGCAGCUGUUCCCUGUCAGUGGAGGCAGCGGCCGUAGAGGCGGUGGCGACGACUUGCGGCGGCAGCGAGGAGAUAGUGCCUGCCUCCCAAGAGCCGACAAAACACUGAGGGUCUUGGGCCAGCAGUGGCUGUUUUCCACCCGAGAUGGCAUUUGCUUGGGAAAGCAGGCCGAGUGUAAAGGCAGAUGGCAUGAGUGGAAAUGCCCUGGACCUUUGACAGACUCCACCCUCCUCAGACUCCAUGGCCUGUCCUCUCUGCUCUCGGCCUCCCGUCUUGGCUGACAGAGUGAAUGUUGUCACUCUUACUGGCAUCCCUGUGGGAGAAGAGGGGCAGCUGGGUGACGGUCCCAAACCACCUCCCUUAUGGAACUGAGAAACUGGGGCCCAGAGGAAGCUAAUGAGCAAAAUCCAAGAUUCCGACCCCUUUCCUCUCCCUCCCAAACCCCCACCAGACUGUCAUCUUUAUUGUGUGUCUUCCUAAAUCCAUCCGUUGGAAAGGAAAGUUAGUCGCCAGGAAGGGCCUUCUCCCAGAUCAUCUAAUUUGUUAAAGCUUGCUUGGCUUCUCAGUCCCUGCAUCCUUCCUGAGUCCCCAGAGCUUUGCUUAGUUACCGUAACUAAGACUCUGCCAUUGAAGGUUCCUGCCCUCCCUGUCCUCCUCCUCUCUGUCUCCUUGGUGAUCUGGAGGAGGUGGAUGUGGCUUUUUUAAUGCCAGAAGGCAUAACUCCUGGUCAUCUCCACAUGCCACAUUGCUGCCAUUGCUCACCCUCAUCCUGAUUUGCCUGCAGGCCAGGGGCAGGCUGGGGCAGGCUGGGGUGUCCAGGGCUGCUUUAAGUACAUGUCCACCAGCUGUGUGUUGCAGGGGCCAGAUGCCAUGCCGCAGCUCCUCUCCUUAUUGACAUCCUGGCUGACGCCUGGGAAAAUUCCACGGUCUGGCCGUGCUGAGUCAUUGCUGAGUCAUGCUUUGUCUCUGAGGAUGUGAGCGUCACCUCCUGCAAUGCCUGUCACUGGUCAGCCCAGGAUCUGGCUGCAGUUACUAUAUACUGAGAUCCGUGUUGCUAAUCUUUUCGAUUUGCCCAUCACUGUAUGCUUCUCCGAGUGCUUUUUCUAACGUGCUGUUUUAUCAAUACAAAAUUUAUUAAUCUUAAAUCAUUCAUAAUAAGUAGAUUCUUUAUCCUGGAAAACAUUCCUCUCAUAAAUGAGGAAACUGAGGUUUGGAGAGACUAAGUGACUUGGUUAGUUUUGGGUGAUUGGUGAGUGGCAUGUUGGGGUGAGUUUUUUAUCCCUUACCCUGGAUUUCCGUGUAAUGCAAAGAUUUUUCAGAAGUAACUUUGGUUGAAAAAUUGAGUUUCAGUUUGUUUAAGUCACAGACUCAAAAAUCUCAUUCUUCCUUUAAGGGCCAGUCUUUUACAUCUAACUUUGAAGUGUAGCCUACAAAUCUUUCUGUUCUAUUUGUGAUUCUAGAAAAUGUUCACAAUCAUUUUAAGGGGCCUUUGGUUAACACUUGAUCCAUUUGCAAUCUUAACUCAUAUGAAGAUUUUAAAUUGAGUUUAUGAAUUAUAUUCAGUGUCCUUUAGUUACUGCAGUUUUCUGAUUAACAAAAUCUUCCAUAGUCCUGUAAAUCUAAUAAACUGACUCUUAAAUUUUCUUAUACAUUCCUAUACUGUCUUGUCUUAUUCUUUUUACACAGCUUGAUUGAGGUAUUUUUAACAUAAAAUUGCACAUUUGAAGUGUAUGAUUUAUAUUUUGACAUAUGCAUGCUCUUGUGAAAUCAUGAGCACAGUUAAGAUAGUGAUUGUCCAAAAGUGUCCCUUGGUUAUCCCUCCCAGUCACUCCUCUCUGCUUCCGCCAUCUCCAAGUAGUCACUAAUUGCUUUCUGUUGUUAUAAAUUAGUUGGCACUUUUUGGAA